UGGGGAAUAUUGGGCAAUGGGCGCAAGCCUGACCCAGCAACGCCGCGUGAGGGAAGAAGGUCUUCGGAUUGUAAACCUCUGUCCUUGGGGACGAAAAAAAUGACGGUACCCAAGGAGGAAGCUCCGGCUAACUACGUGCCAGCAGCCGCGGUAAUACGUAGGGAGCGAGCGUUGUCCGGAAUUACUGGGCGUAAAGGGUGCGUAGGCGGCAUGGCAAGUCAGAUGUGAAAUUCCCGGGCUUAACUCGGGGGGUGCAUUUGAAACUGCUGAGCUUGAGUGCAGGAGAGGAAAGCGGAAUUCCUAGUGUAGCGGUGAAAUGCGUAGAUAUUAGGAGGAACACCAGUGGCGAAGGCGGCUUUCUGGACUGUAACUGACGCUGAGGCACGAAAGCGUGGGGAGCAAACAGG
RNAcentral lists this ribosomal RNA (407 nucleotides) under uncultured prokaryote. Its description in RNAcentral is "bacterial SSU rRNA". It matches the Rfam family "Bacterial small subunit ribosomal RNA", at positions 355 to 776 of the family's 1533-position model. The record is from RNAcentral. RNAcentral also lists the same sequence under 1 other name.